GAUGAACGCUGGCGGCGUGCCUAAUACAUGCAAGUCGAGCGAACGGACGAGAAGCUUGCUUCUCUGAUGUUAGCGGCGGACGGGAGAGUAACACGUGGAUAAACUACCUAUAAGACUGGGAUAACUUCGGGAAACCGGAGCUAAUACCGGAUAAUAUUUUGAACCGCAUGGUUCAAAAGUGAAAGACGGUCUUGCUGUCACUUAUAGAUGGAUCCGCGCUGCAUUAGCUAGUUGGUAAGGUAACGGCUUACCAAGGCAACGAUGCAUAGCCGACCUGAGAGAGUGGUCGGCCACACUGGAACUGAGACACGGUCCAGACUCCUACGGGAGGCAGCAGUAGGGAAUCUUCCGCAAUGGGCGAAAGCCUGACGGAGCAACGCCGCGUGAGUGAUGAAGGUCUUCGGAUCGUAAAACUCUGUUAUUAGGGAAGAACAUAUGUGUAAGUAACUGUGCACAUCUUGACGGUACCUAGUCAGAAAGCCACGGCUAACUACGUG
This 497-nucleotide ribosomal RNA is filed under the name uncultured bacterium. RNAcentral describes it as "partial 16S ribosomal RNA". It matches the Rfam family "Bacterial small subunit ribosomal RNA", at positions 28 to 507 of the family's 1533-position model. The record is from RNAcentral.